UGUCUUAGAGGAGCUCUAGAUUCUUUUCUCAUCGUCUCACUGUCCAUAUGGCGGUUAAACAAUGUUUUUCUGCAGGAUUCAGGAGGUAGAGCUAGCUAGUCAUGAACUCAUCAUAGCUCAUGGUGAGAUGCAUGGCUAGAGGUGAGCAGGUUUGACUUGAACUAGAACAUCGUGAUCAAAUUGCUAAUUCAGGAGAUGUACAAUUACGAUCUGUACUGUUCGUCAUGCAAGAUAUAUGUGGUGUGAAAGCGACGGCAGAGAAAGAAGCAUCUUGUAUAUCAAUCAGCCAUAAGGCUGUGAAAGUACGCACCGACCUUGCCCGGGCGAUAACAAGCUUCCCUCUGCCUGCUUCUCUCUCCUAUCUUAAUCGUGCAUAUAAGUCUAUGAACUCUCUCUCUCUCUCUUAACAAGCUUCCCUCUGCCUGCUUCUCUCUCCUAUCUUAAUCGUGCAUAUAAGUCUAUGAACUCUCUCUCUCUCUCUCUCUCUCUCUCUCUCUCUCUCUCUCUCUCUCUCUCUCUCUCCACCACACACAAACAAAUAAACACACUACUCCUGAAUCCACAUGAACACUCAAGCUUGCUCUCGUCGAUCUCUCUCACAUAUGGCAGUUGAGGGGAAUGUUGUCUGGUCGGAGAUCUAACACCGCGGAUCCAUGGAGCAUCGCAGCAUGGUGGAUGGUUUCGGACCAGGCUUCAUUCCCCCCAACUCAACUCUUCUCCCUUCUCCGAAUCACCGAGGACGACGAUGAUCUUUUGUCAAGGACGACUCAACUCCCUACCAAGUACCAACAGAUCCCAUGGUCUGAACACUCCAACAUGCACCACCACAAUUCCUCAGUAUCAUGGAACACAAGAAAUUCACAACUUACAUCAAGAAAGCAAGCCUUCAUCUGCUGCAAACAACUCUCAAGUACUUCUGAUUUACUCUUUGUACCUAUGCUUACUGAUUUCAUAUCAGCUUCCAUCAUUGAUCUUAAAUAAGGCUUCCAAAGCUCAUACCUAAAACAAAGUGUUUCAGCCAGCAUUAAGCAACCAUAUGUCAUCGUAUCAGAAUCAGAUUCAAUAAGUGCAGCGAUUCUAGAAUCAACUCACCCCAUUUCAUCAUAACCCAUCACCAAUGCCUCACCCUGCAUUUUGCCCAUGAAUCAGAGGUUUGUUUCAUUAGAGAAACGGAGGUAUGUUUCAAGAAGAUAAACGCACUCAAAAGUUGGCCACAUUACUCAUUAUCAAGGUAACUGAAAGAAUUAAACUAUAAUAAAUCGUAGAAAAGCUAAUCUCGUUGUCAACCAGGCCCAAAGCCCACUGUUAGUUUCAAAUUUGAUACUAAAUUUGCUUAUCAGGAAUGAGAGAUAUCUGAAGUCUGAAGCUAAAUAAACAAGAAAAGGAAAAAGGCAGAAGAAAUGUCAUUGAUGAUUAGCAUGAACUGGAUUAGAACAUCCAAGUGCAGCAUGAAAAGUAUGCAUCUCUUACAUAAGCGAAAUGUAAAAGUUUGCUUUCAGACAUCAAAUAACAAUAACCCCAUGAUGGUAAGAGUACUUUCCACACAAAAUCAGUGGAUUUAACAAAGCAACACCUGCAUCUAGAUAUAUGGACAAUAUGCAGAGUAUUCUAGUCAAAUCAGAAUUUAGAUGAGUAUUUGUUCUUUUUAAGAAACAAACAAGUGGAAACAUAUAAUUGAAAGAAAAACAAGAUCAGAUAGGAUAGUUACAUGACAUCUGCAUGCAAAUGUAUAAUAGGCUAUCAAAGGGGAUACAUACAAGAUUCGUUGGGGAGAAACGUGUGUUUUCAUCUUUGGUUGCAUAACAACGGUCAAGCAACUUCUUUAUGUGAUCAUGCAUGGUUGCAUCAGUACCAAUUCCUGCCUGGAAAUAGAAUCGAAAAGGGUCAAAUUUGCAUGAUUUAAAAUUCUAGAUAGGUAGAUUCAGUAAGUGGCACAAUCCAGCAAUUCUGGAUUUGUAGUUAUUGCCUCAGAAAAAGAAUAUAUCAUAGGUUGAAAGAAGGAAUUUUUUUUGUACUUUAUCCAUGCAGCUAAGAAGGUCAGCUUCAGCAAGAAGAGGGGGCGGCCGAGUCACUCCAGAAUCAAGUGUUAAAGUUGUCGGAACAAACUGCAUGAUUUUAAGUUGAUAGUUCACGUCAGUUUUGUAUUUGAUUAAUAGGAUUCGAAUGUUGGAGAGCAUCGCCAUUCUCUAAAUCAAAUCAAUCAACUAGUUGUGAUCAACAAAUAUUGAGCGACUCCAUAAAUAUUGCAAUGAAA
Panicum virgatum (switchgrass) is the source of this 2254-nucleotide long non-coding RNA. RefSeq lists it as uncharacterized. The transcript has 2 exons. The record is from RefSeq and is a predicted model, not a curated record. Lineage: Eukaryota; Viridiplantae; Streptophyta; Magnoliopsida; Poales; Poaceae.